UACGGAGGAUCCGAGCGUUAUCCGGAUUUAUUGGGUUUAAAGGGUGCGUAGGCGGUUUGAUAAGUUAGAGGUGAAAUGUCGGGGCUCAACCCCGAAACUGCCUCUAAUACUGUUGGACUAGAGAAUAGUUGCGGUAGGCGGAAUGUAUGGUGUAGCGAUGAAAUGCUUAGAGAUCAUACAGAACACCGAUUGCGAAGGCAGCUUACCAAACUAUAUCUGACGUUGAGGCACGAAAGCGUGGGUAGCAAACAGG
Molecule: ribosomal RNA, 253 nt
Filed under: uncultured bacterium
Lineage: Bacteria
Description: partial 16S ribosomal RNA
Rfam family: Bacterial small subunit ribosomal RNA
Source: RNAcentral